AUAUCAUGAUGUGGGCAUUUUUUUAACAACUCUUUAAAUUUCCCAUGCAUCAUACAACGAUUUCCCUUUCGUCCGGUAGAAAUUAUUAAUUUCCCCCUCAAUUU
Humulus lupulus (European hop) is the source of this 104-nucleotide small nucleolar RNA. The record is from RefSeq and is a predicted model, not a curated record. NCBI's taxonomy places the organism in Eukaryota, Viridiplantae, Streptophyta, Magnoliopsida, Rosales, Cannabaceae.